GGAAGGAUCAUUAACAAAUCUGCUAUAUAUGGGCUUGUACCAUAUAUAUAUUUACCCCGAGCCUGGCAGCAAUGCCGGCUUUGGUUGGGUGGGGCGCAAGCCCUGCUCCGGUUGUGCAACAGCGUUGCCUACCACAUAGACGCUUGUAUGUUUGACAGAGUUACAGUUGUAAAACUAAAAUGACAACUUUUAACAAUGGAUCUCUUGGCUCUUGCAACGAUGAAGAACGCAGUGAAAUGCGAAAAGUAAUGCGAUUUGCAUGAAUCUGUGAGUCAUCAAGUCUUUGAACGCACCUUGCACCGUAUGAGCAAUCGUACGGUAUACCUGUUUGAGAAUCGUAAAACUCUCUUUCUGCUACUAGUUAGUGGAAGAUUUGUCGGUUGUGCAUCAGUGCACUCUGAUUAAAAGGAUCAAGUCUGAAUCGGGCUGGUGGCCUGGGACAUUGUGUGCUAGAGACGUCGCUUCGGCUGACUGUCUUCUCACAAUGCGUCCUUGGCUACUUAAAGCUGGUCUGAUUUCGGGCUUUUCAGUAGUAGCCUUUACGGGAUACUACAACCCCCCUUUUUGAUCUCAAAUCAGGUAAGGCUACCCGCUGAACUUAAGCAUAUCAGUAAGCGGAGGAAAAGAAACUAACAAGGAUUCCCCUAGUAACGGCGAGCGAAGCGGGAAGAGCUCAAAUUUAAAAUCUGGGAGGCUUGCCUCUCCGAAUUGUAGUUUAAAGAGGUGUUAUCUGGUCUUUGGUCGGUGCUCAAGUCCCUUGGAAUAGGGCGUCACAGAGGGUGAGAACCCCGUCUGGGCACUGAUCAAAGGUCUCUAUGAGGCACUCUCUACGAGUCGGGUUGUUUGGGAAUGCAGCUCAAAAUGGGUGGUAAAUUUCAUCUAAGGCUAAAUACUGGCAAGAGACCGAUAGCGAACAAGUACCGUGAGGGAAAGAUGAAAAGCACCUUGAAAAGGGAGUUAAAUAGUGCGUGAAAUUGUUAAAAGGGAAACGAUUGAGACCAGUAUUGUUGCUGGCUUUGAGCUGCGUGUUGGUGCAAGCCUGUGCGUAGUGUAGCAGUCAGUGACGAGUCAGCGUCAGUUUGGGUUUCCGGAGAGAGGUUGGAGGAAGAUGGGCUUGGUUUUCGGACCAAUCUUUUAUAGACUCUAACUGGCACGGGAGCCUGGACUGAGGUGAGCGACCGUAGUACUCAUAGCCCGAGACCAUUCCCCAAGGGCAAGGACUGCACGCAGACCUUGCCUGCAAGGAAGGGAGGUAGGGCUAUGCAUACGGUUCCAGGAUGCUGACGAAAUGGUCUUAAACGACCCGUCUUGAAACACGGACCAAGGAGUCCAACAUAUAUGCGAGUAUUUGGGUGGCAAACCCGAGUGCGUAAUGAAAGUGAUCUGGAUGAGAACCGUGAGGUGCAUCAUCGACCGAACCCUGAUGUCUUCUGAUGGGUUUGAGUAAGAGCAUAUCUGUUGGGACCCGAAAGGUAGUGAACUAUGCCUGGAUAGGAUGAAGCCAGAGGAAACUCUGGUGGAGGUCCGUAGCCGUUCUGACGUGCAAAUCGAUGGUCAAAUCUGGGUAUAGGGGCGAAAGACUAAUCGAACUACCUAGUAGCUGGUUCCCUC
This 1611-nucleotide unclassified non-coding RNA is filed under the name uncultured fungus. RNAcentral describes it as "sequence contains 18S rRNA gene, ITS1, 5.8S rRNA gene, ITS2, 28S rRNA gene". The stretch from base 566 to 1611 matches the Rfam family "Eukaryotic large subunit ribosomal RNA", at positions 1 to 961 of the family's 3401-position model. The record is from RNAcentral. Lineage: Eukaryota; Fungi.